GAGAUGGUUGUGGUUGAUAAUGUUGGGCUUCUCUGAAAACAGGUGUUAUGUGAGCCACCUGAUGCUGGUUGUUAUUGGGGAGGGUGAUCUUCCUCUUCACAGAGGGUCUUCUCUUAACAUGGGAAGACACAGCAUGUGCCUCUCCCUCCUUCUUCUUUGCAAAGCUUCCAUAUCUCUUUGCUGAAGAGCCUUCCUCUCGAGUCAAAC
Molecule: long non-coding RNA, 207 nt
Filed under: Lathyrus oleraceus (garden pea)
Lineage: Eukaryota; Viridiplantae; Streptophyta; Magnoliopsida; Fabales; Fabaceae
Description: Pisum sativum (pea) long non-coding RNA (PSAT_LNC037721)
Source: RNAcentral